UGAAUACGAGAUGCUACGGCGUCGAAGCAGUCUAUGUCAUACUUCCAAGAAAAGCUCGCACUGUCAUAAACAAAUAAUGCCUGUACCAUAACCGACACAGGUGGGUAGGUAGAGUAUACUAAGGGGCGCGAGAUAACUCUCUCUAAGGAACUCGGCAAAAUGACUCCGUAACUUCGGGAGAAGGAGUGCCUUAUUUAUAAGGUUGCGAUAACAAGAUCCAAGCAACUGUUUAUCAAAAACACAGGUCUCCGCUAAGUCGUAAGACGAUGUAUGGGGGCUGACGCCUGCCCAGUGCCAGAAGGUUAAAGAAGUUGGUUAGCAUUCGCGAAGCUGAUAACUGAAGCCCUGGUGAACGGCGGCCGUAACGAUAACGGUCCUAAGGUAGCGAAAUUCCUUGUCGGGUAAGUUCCGACCCGCACGAAAGGCGUAAUGAUUUGGAUACUGUCUCGGAGAGGGGCUCGGUGAAAUAGACUUGUCUGUGAAGAUGCGGACUACCUGCACCAGGACAGAAAGACCCUAUGAAGCUUUACUGUAACUUGAGAUUGAAAUUGGACUUUACUUGCGCAGUAUAGGUGGGAGGCGUUGAUAAUAUUCUUGCGGGAUUAUUUGAGCCAUCAGUGAGAUACCACUCUUGUAAUGUUAGAUUUCUAACUUUGUAUCAUUAUCUGGUCAAAGGACAGUUUCAGGCGGGCAGUUUGACAGGGGCGGUCGCCUCCUAAACGGUAACGGAGGCGCACAAAGGUUUCCUCUGAACGGGUAGAAAUCGUAUCUAGAGUGUAAAGGCAUAAGGAAGCUUGACUGUGAGACCUACAAGUCGAGCAGGGACGAAAGUCGGUCUUAGUGAUCUGACGGUGCUGAGUGGAAAGGCCGUCACUCAACGGAUAAAAGUUACUCUAGGAUAACAGGCUGAUCUCCCCCAAGAGUUCACAUCGACGGGGAGGUUUGGCACCUCGAUGUCGGCUCAUCGCAUCCUGGGGCGGUAGUACGUCCCAAGGGUUGGGCUGUUCGCCCAUGAAAGCGGUACGCGAGCUGGGUUCAGAACGUCGUGAGACAGUUCGGUCCAUAUCCGGUGUAGGCGUUAGAAUAUUGAGAGGAGCCUUCUUUAGUACGAGAGGACCGAGAAGGACAUACCUCUGGUGUACCAGUUAUCGUGCCAACGGUAAACGCUGGGUAGCUAUGUAUGGAGUGGAUAACCGCUGAAAGCAUCUAAGUGGGAAGCCCACCUCAAGAUAAG
Molecule: ribosomal RNA, 1234 nt
Filed under: metagenome
Description: bacterial LSU rRNA
Rfam family: Bacterial large subunit ribosomal RNA
Source: RNAcentral